This 253-nucleotide ribosomal RNA is filed under the name uncultured bacterium. RNAcentral describes it as "partial 16S ribosomal RNA". It matches the Rfam family "Bacterial small subunit ribosomal RNA", at positions 524 to 776 of the family's 1533-position model. The record is from RNAcentral.
UACGAAGGGGGCUAGCGUUGUUCGGAAUUACUGGGCGUAAAGCGCGCGCAGGCGGCUCUUUAAGUCAGGGGUGAAAGCCCAGAGCUCAACUCUGGAAUUGCCUUUGAAACUAGAGAACUUGGGUACGGGAGAGGUGAGUGGAAUUCCGAGUGUAGAGGUGAAAUUCGUAGAUAUUCGGAAGAACACCAGUGGCGAAGGCGGCUCACUGGCCCGUUACCGACGCUCAGGCGCGACAGCGUGGGGAGCAAACAGG